This 1123-nucleotide ribosomal RNA is filed under the name fungal endophyte. RNAcentral's name for it is "eukaryotic LSU rRNA". The stretch from base 537 to 1123 matches the Rfam family "Eukaryotic large subunit ribosomal RNA", at positions 1 to 597 of the family's 3401-position model. The record is from RNAcentral. Lineage: Eukaryota; Fungi.
UUACCGAGUUUACAACUCCCAAACCCAAUGUGAACGUUACCAAACUGUUGCCUCGGCGGGAUCUCUGCCCCGGGUGCGUCGCAGCCCCGGACCAAGGCGCCCGCCGGAGGACCAACCUAAAACUCUUAUUGUAUACCCCCUCGCGGGUUUUUUUAUAAUCUGAGCCUUCUCGGCGCCUCUCGUAGGCGUUUCGAAAAUGAAUCAAAACUUUCAACAACGGAUCUCUUGGUUCUGGCAUCGAUGAAGAACGCAGCGAAAUGCGAUAAGUAAUGUGAAUUGCAGAAUUCAGUGAAUCAUCGAAUCUUUGAACGCACAUUGCGCCCGCCAGUAUUCUGGCGGGCAUGCCUGUCCGAGCGUCAUUUCAACCCUCGAACCCCUCCGGGGGGUCGGCGUUGGGGAUCGGCCCUCCCUUAGCGGGUGGCCGUCUCCGAAAUACAGUGGCGGUCUCGCCGCAGCCUCUCCUGCGCAGUAGUUUGCACACUCGCAUCGGGAGCGCGGCGCGUCCACAGCCGUUAAACACCCAACUUCUGAAAUGUUGACCUCGGAUCAGGUAGGAAUACCCGCUGAACUUAAGCAUAUCAAUAAGCGGAGGAAAAGAAACCAACAGGGAUUGCCCCAGUAACGGCGAGUGAAGCGGCAACAGCUCAAAUUUGAAAUCUGGCCCCUAGGGUCCGAGUUGUAAUUUGUAGAGGAUGCUUUUGGUGAGGUGCCGCCCGAGUUCCCUGGAACGGGACGCCACAGAGGGUGAGAGCCCCGUCUGGCUGGCCGCCGAGCCUCUGUAAAGCUCCUUCGACGAGUCGAGUAGUUUGGGAAUGCUGCUCAAAAUGGGAGGUAUAUGUCUUCUAAAGCUAAAUAUUGGCCAGAGACCGAUAGCGCACAAGUAGAGUGAUCGAAAGAUGAAAAGCACCUUGAAAAGAGGGUUAAAUAGUACGUGAAAUUGUUGAAAGGGAAGCGCUUGUGACCAGACUUGGGCGCGGCGGAUCAUCCGGGGUUCUCUCCGGUGCACUUCGCCGCGUCUAGGCCAGCAUCAGUUCGUCGCGGGGGAAAAAGGCUUCGGGAACGUGGCUCCUCCGGGAGUGUUAUAGCCCGUUGCAUAAUACCCUGCGGUGGACUGAGGACCGCG